CGCCUUCAGCAGCCAGGACUUCAGAUCUGAACAAUGGUUAAUGUUUAAAAAGGCACAGUGUGUUCUGUUUCAUGACCUGUUCAUUUCCCUUCCCUGCCAGUGCAGGCCUCAAGUAAGAGCUUGUUACAGGGCAUGAAAAGACACAGGGAGUGAUACUCAGGUCACAGGGAAGUUGCUUGAAGACGAGGGAGCUGUAUCUCCAAGGAAACACUCCAAAUGAGUUGCUGUGGGCCACCGUGGGCGUGGGUUUACUGUAGCUUAUGGAAAUAACCCACAGCACCCACUGAGAUGUGUGUAUAGAUUGCAGUCAGGAAAUGGAGGGAAUCCUGCAUUAAGCCGAAACGGUGGGAUUUAAAAAUGCCUAAGAGCGACUCUCUGGGUGGAAUCUGGUCAGAGCACCCAUCAGCUUUCCCUCUCAUCAGCAGUUGGGAGAAAAAUUACAUACUUUGGAUAUCCAAACCCGAAUCCAGGGUGUUCAGCCCUUCAGCUAUCUACCUUUCUGUAAUUAACCCUAUUUGUCACCAAUCCUCAUACUACAUGCUGUGAGGGCCAGCCAGUGCAGACCCUAACAUCUCCUAUAAACGAAACAUUCAGUCCUUUCCCCACCAACCCUAUUUGUUCUACUUUCAGUCUUUAUAUAACUCCCAACUCAUCUUUUCCUGUGACCUCAUCGACUGGUCCUUGUCACAUCAGACCAUCACCAGUUAUCCGUCAACUCCGUGCUCACUCUGACUGUGUAUUGACUUGGACCUGGCACCGGACUUGGUUCUGAGGAUACAUAGUUCAUGUUUUCCUUUCUGGAGAACUCACUGAAGAGAGAAACCUUGGCAGCCGUGAUGGUUUUCCCACCGUGGACUGCGUCGAAUAGCAGCCCUGGAGUCAUGCCGUGCAGAACCAACUGAGAGCUUCUCCAUCCUCUAGCAAAUAGCAGCUGUGGGGAGCCGCCCUCACAUUCGCCUUACAAGAUGGUGCUGACAUCCUGUGUUCUAAGUGGUAAACAAAUAAUCUGCGCAUGUGCCAAGGGUAGUUCCCCACCCCAUGUGCUCUGCCUUCCCCGUGACGACAACUCGGCCGAUGGGCUGCAGUCAAUCAGGGAGUAAUACGUCCUAGGCGGAGAAUAAUUCUCCUUAAAGGGGACGGGGUUUCGCCAUUCUCUCUCUUGCUUUUGCUCUUGCACUCUUGCGCUCUUGCGCUCUGGCUCCUAAAGAUGUAAGCAAUAGAGCUCUUGCUCUCUUGCACU
This 1240-nucleotide long non-coding RNA is filed under the name Mus musculus (house mouse). RNAcentral describes it as "predicted gene, 34574". Lineage: Eukaryota; Metazoa; Chordata; Mammalia; Rodentia; Muridae. The record is from RNAcentral.